RNAcentral lists this microRNA precursor (91 nucleotides) under Canis lupus familiaris (dog). RNAcentral describes it as "mir-8799 microRNA precursor family". It matches the Rfam family "mir-8799 microRNA precursor family". The record is from Rfam by way of RNAcentral. RNAcentral also lists the same sequence under 1 other name. Lineage: Eukaryota; Metazoa; Chordata; Mammalia; Carnivora; Canidae.
AGGGGGAGGUCGGAUCCUGCGUUGUGUCCCAGGCGCCCUGUGCUCCGGGGACUGCGCUGUUGGAUUCGUGCUCCCGGCUGCGCAGCCGCCU